Molecule: ribosomal RNA, 468 nt
Filed under: uncultured bacterium
Lineage: Bacteria
Description: partial 16S ribosomal RNA
Rfam family: Bacterial small subunit ribosomal RNA
Source: RNAcentral
GACGAACGCUGGCGGCGUGCUUAACACAUGCAAGUCGAACGGAAAGGCCCUGCUUUUGUGGGGUGCUCGAGUGGCGAACGGGUGAGUAACACGUGAGUAACCUGCCCUUGACUUUGGGAUAACUUCAGGAAACUGGGGCUAAUACCGGAUAGGAGCUCCUGCUGCAUGGUGGGGGUUGGAAAGUUUCGGCGGUUGGGGAUGGACUCGCGGCUUAUCAGCUUGUUGGUGGGGUAGUGGCUUACCAAGGCUUUGACGGGUAGCCGGCCUGAGAGGGUGACCGGCCACAUUGGGACUGAGAUACGGCCGAGAGUCCUACGGGAGGCAGCAGUGGGGAAUAUUGCACAAUGGGCGGAAGCCUGAUGCAGCAACGCCGCGUGCGGGAUGACGGCCUUCGGGUUGUAAACCGCUUUCGCCUGUGACGAAGCGUGAGUGAAGGUAAUGGGUAAAGAAGCACCGGCUAACUACGUG